RNAcentral lists this small RNA (76 nucleotides) under Flavobacterium saccharophilum. Its description in RNAcentral is "Flavo-1 RNA". The record is from RNAcentral. Lineage: Bacteria; Pseudomonadati; Bacteroidota; Flavobacteriia; Flavobacteriales; Flavobacteriaceae.
AUUUAGCCCCGAUAAAAGUAAAAUACUCUUUGCCGCGGCCUGGCCCAAAAGAUUGGAAAUUAUAGCAGGAAGAACU